GUACUUAUCUGGCAGGGGAGAUACCAUGAUCAUGAAGGUGGUUUUCCCAGGGUGAGUUUUAUCCAUUGCACUCCAGAUGCACUGACCCCUGCAUCUUCCUCAAAUGUGGGUAACUCGAAUGCAUAAUUUGUGGUAGUGGGGGACUGAGUUUGCGCUUUCCUCUG
Molecule: small nuclear RNA, 164 nt
Gene: U1
Rfam family: U1 spliceosomal RNA
About the family: U1 is a small nuclear RNA (snRNA) component of the spliceosome (involved in pre-mRNA splicing). Its 5' end forms complementary base pairs with the 5' splice junction, thus defining the 5' donor site of an intron.
Source: Ensembl